Molecule: small nuclear RNA, 106 nt
Organism: Molossus molossus (Pallas's mastiff bat)
Lineage: Eukaryota; Metazoa; Chordata; Mammalia; Chiroptera; Molossidae
Source: RefSeq, a predicted model, not a curated record
GUGCUCACUUUGGUAGCACAUAUAAUAAAAUUGGAACUAUACAGAGAAGAUUAGCAUGGCCCCGUGCAAGGAUGACAUGCAACUUCGUGAAGCGUUUCCUAUUUUA